GCAUAGCUCAGUUGGUUAGAGUGUCGUACUAAUAAUGUGAAAAGUGUGGGUUCAAUUCCCCAUAUAUGGCAACA
This is a non-coding RNA of Potamilus streckersoni, 74 nucleotides long. NCBI's taxonomy places the organism in Eukaryota, Metazoa, Mollusca, Bivalvia, Unionida, Unionidae. The record is from the annotation of a GenBank genome assembly.